Molecule: long non-coding RNA, 1257 nt
Organism: Rattus norvegicus (Norway rat)
Lineage: Eukaryota; Metazoa; Chordata; Mammalia; Rodentia; Muridae
Source: Ensembl
AAAAAAUGCAAACCCCGACUCUGGCUGGCCAGUGCAGUAGAAAGACAUUUAUUUACACCAUCUCGAACUAUGUAGCAUAUGUUUGUUUGUGAGCCCAGCCUUUAACAACUGAGCCACCUCUUCUGUCUCGCUAUUAUACACAGUUUUUGUGUUGCUGGGGAUCAAACCCAGAGCUUUGUGCAUGGUAGUCAGGCUUUCUACCGGAUAACUCUAGCAGUAACUCAGUUUUUCAAAAGUUUAUUUUAUUUUGGGGUAUGUGCACGUGAGUGUGGGUGUGUAUGGGCCACCAUGUUUAUCUGGAGGUCUGAGGACAACUUUUAGGAGUAAAUCGUGUUCAGGAGUGGAACUCCCAUCCUCAGCUGGUGAGGCAAGUUCAUUCUUCUUAUACGGGGUCUAGUUAUGUAGCUGUUUAACUUGGGCUGCCCUUGACCUUGAACUCAUAGCAGCAGUUCAGCUUCUGUGGACUGAGAGCUACUGGGAUCUCAGCCUCCUGGUGUGCAGAUGUCCACAACGUACCACAGGCGCUCUCUUUUCUCUGCUGAUUCCUGACUGUGGAACAACAUGGCAUCAGGAAGAAACUGCUCCUCCACACAUCACCUGUCAGUCUGGAGAUAGCAACUCACCGUCCUCCGAAGACGUGGCAGAAUACACUGUUGGCCACAGAGUUCAUUCCACCCUUUUAGGAAACCCCUUGACUGACUGUGUGGUGGAGAGCUGAGCCCGUGUGGGAGCGGACACACCAGAAUUGUUUCAAUCUCGUUAUCUUCUCUGAGCCGCAGUCAUCUCAGGUCUGGUCCCCUGAGGCUGGUGAACUUGCCCGGGAGCCCAUCCGAAUAAACCUGUCUAUUUCUUCAGCAGAGAAAACCGACUGACUAUCUCAUGAAGUGGGAACUUGAGGAUUCUUUGGAAAGUUGGUUAGAUGGUGUUUUGCUGGGGCAAAUAUGUGAAGGAACGUUUUGCUGAAGCAGACACAGGAGAAAGGAUGUUCUGCUAAAGCAAGCACAUGAAGGACAUGUGAUGAAGGAUUCUUUGCUAAUGACACACAUGUAUUGGUUCGCCUUACAUUGUGUAGUUGAGCUGCAUUUUUGUCGAGACACCAUAGAAGAAACGCACCCAAAAAUUCCUGAUGGUAUGCUGCAGACAUUGCUGCUUCUGCAGACUUGGGCUGAUUGGCAGAGUGAUGCCGGCUAAGACAGACACACGUGCUAAAGCAAGACCUGUGGAGGACACGAGAUGUUUGGAGGGUAUAAAUAGGAC